GACCAGCAGGGGGCGACUCCUCUGCUCCCAUAGACGUCUAUGAGGAAAUUACUCUACUUCUCUGUAGUGACCAGCAGGGGGCGACUCCUCUGCUCCCAUAGACGUCUAUGAGGAAAUGACUCUACUUCUCUGUAGUGACCAGCAGGGGGCGACUCCUCUGCUCCCAUAGACGUCUAUGAGGAAAUUACUCUACUUCUCUCUUGAUUUAUUCCCUCAGUAAGCAAAACUGACUUUAUGGUCUUAAUUUGUAGAUUCAAGUCUUCUUCAUUACAGCAUGUUGUACGUUUAGUAAAUGAUGGUCCAUGUAGAGUCAAAUAGACCAUAAAGCAGAGGAUGCUUUAGGGCGGGGCUACACGCUGAUUGACAGGUCACCUAAUAGACCAUAAAGCGGGUUAUGCUUUAGGGCGGGGCUACACGCUGAUUGACAGGUCACCUAAUAGACCAUACAGCAGGGGAUGCUUUAGGGCGGGGCUACUCACUGAUUGACAGGCCUCUCUACCACGGCUUCCUUAUACAACCAUCUUUCAACAGGUGACACUAAAUGUAGUAUUUAUGAGUUUCCUGUGAAGACAGAAGUUCACUUUGAAAAGAUCACACGCACGUAACCCGGCUGUGACACUUGAUGCUGGACUUUCUUGGGAUAUAUUUGAAAAACGAGGGGUGACUUUUGCAAAGAUCCAUUAAAUUCCAGUUUAAUGAUGUUCAAAUUGUACAUCAUUGUGUAUAAUUAUAAUUACUUAGGCUUUGUAGAGAGAUUCAGUCAAUAUCUCGCAGACUAAUGUAUUUAUUUACCACAUCUUUUCUUCUUUUUGUAAUUUGUUCCUGAGAUCUAAAAUGGAUUCCCACAGACUGUCGAGACCCUUUGUCUGUUUCCAAGCAGAUUGGUGGAAUAUUGAAAGCUCUCGAUGUCUUUUGAUCUGCGCAGGAACGUGAACCAAUAAGAGCCGCGCGGAUACAGGAAGCAGAAGAAGGAGCGAUGAAGGAGAGGAAGCGGAGACUCCUCCGGGUCAGUGGAGCGGUCUCGUCUCUGCUGGUAUCCAGUGAGGACGGAGCUCCUCAGCUGCUCUCCAGGGGCUCUCUGAUUGGCUGGCUGUCCCCCAACACGCUACCACAAGGAUUGAUCAUAACAAAGACAGAUCGGCGCAUCUGAGCGCUAAUUCCUUUUGCCAGAAUGGUGCGAGAACCACUUAGAUUAGAUAAACACGGCCCAGUGCGGCUUUGCAUGACUGGAGAAACUCGGCCUGAUGGGAGUAGUUUGCAAGGAAAAUAGCAAAAAACGAGUUUCCCUCGACCAGCAAACACAGAUAUUGGUUUUCGUGAUGCCGCGGUGACCCUCGUGGCCCAGGUUCUGCUCCAUCACCCUGAUCACAGGUGACAGCAGGUCCUCCGCCUAUCGACGAGCACCUGGUUUAGUAAACGCACGCAAGACACAAAAGACACAAAAGACACAAGUGUUUGUGGUGGAAUCCUAAUGGAAGAGUAAAACAAGCGCUUCACGGUGACCCAAAGGCCGCUGGCUUCUCUUCUCUGCAAAUGGCGCGAAUGUCACUGGAGAGGUCGUCUGCAUUUUUCACACAUUAUUAACAAGACGCUGACGCCGCACUGCAUUCUGGUCCCUCUCCUCACCCCAUGCGGAGGGAGAAAAUUGUUCGCAGCGCGUGUUCUCGGGUAGAUUUCUCCCAGUGUGACGGGCGUCCGUCGCUCGGGGAUUCAGACAGACGGACAAAAUCCACAUUUUAGCUCAACGAAACGUGUCUGAUUGAUUCACUGCAGGAGGUCUGGAAAUAUCUUAAUGGGGGCGGAAAGUUUCAGAUAUUUUGCCUCAAAUUGUGAAUCAGAAGUAGACCUGUCAAUCAACGUGUAGCCCCGCCCUAAAGCAGGUUUAUGGUCUGUUUGACUCAUCCUCCAGCAGAGACCAGUCCACUGUGGACAGACCCACAAGCUCCAGCAGAGACCAGUCCACCGUGGACAGACCCAGAUCCUCCAGCAGAGACCAGUCCACCGUGGACAGACCCAGAUCCUCCAGCAGAGACCAGUCCACCGUGGACAGACCCACAACCUCCAGCAGAGACCAGUCCACCGUGGACAGACCCAGAUCCUCCAGCAGAGACCAGUCCACCGUGGACAGACCCAGAUCCUCCAGCAGAGACCAGUCCACUGUGGACAGACCCAGAUCCUCCAGCAGAGACCAGUGCACCGUGGACAGACCCGACAUAAUCCCCAAUCCCUCUUUUAGCAGUUUUAUGUAAAGUAGCCUUCAAAUACCUCAGGCCUCCUCAGCCAUUUCUUCUCUAAAGCUUUAAUGGAUUUUCCAGUUUUUUUUAUUGCACUGGAUUGUUCAGAAGAAAAGCCGUUAGUCGGCACAGCCGGUAAAAGCUCAGAACCCCUCCAGGUCUUAAAGACCUCGUCUCCUCUCAUUACCUCCAUGGAGACUAAUGACGGCCCAGCACAGCAACUUAACCAGCUCCAAUGAGUUGCUCUCUGUGGCGGCACUUUGCAUCCCAUGACAACGAGUCGAGCGAGUAUAGAUACUCACAGGAGACUCCACUGGGUACAUUUGGUAGCAUUACUAAAUAUUUAUUAUUUGAUUAGGAAAAGAUAAUUCACCUCACAACGUGAUUAUGAGUAUAGACCUUUCAAUGAAAGAUCUCACGAUGAAGAGAAAAGAUCUUGUACAAGAUGAGGUGCUGUCAUUUUGGGUUCUCCUAAUCACUGGAGGUGUAACAAUUCAUCUUAACAACGAUUCGAUUCAUGGACGAUGUGGGUUAAUUUAGAACGACUCGAUUCAGUGACUUGAAAUCGAUUCAGUAACUUUACUGGACGGUGCAGGCAAAGUUUCUGAGAUCCCUGUUGUUUCUGUAAGGAAAUCAGGUUUAAAUUAAUUAUGGAUAUUAUAAACAAGCAAACAACAAUUAAUGGCAAAUGUAUUAACCUUUUAUUUGAAUCAGGUGCCAUUUUCAAUG
Molecule: long non-coding RNA, 2963 nt
Organism: Gasterosteus aculeatus aculeatus (three-spined stickleback)
Lineage: Eukaryota; Metazoa; Chordata; Actinopteri; Perciformes; Gasterosteidae
Source: Ensembl